AAUUUUUCUAGUAAGACAAUAUUGACUGUAGUGAAUACAUUUUUAAAUUUAAGAAUAUUAACAUUUGUACAACAAUAGUGUGGUAAAUAUUUAUAUCGUUCUUUUUUGAAAAAAGGACAAGACAUUACAUAAUGGAAUUCAUCGCCGAUGUCAGCAGAUUCACAAAGGUGACAUAGCCUCUCGGGUCUUUGAACAUUUUGCCACCUCCCUGUCUCCACUGGCAAACGGUGAUUGCCACAUCUAAAUUUACAUAGUUUCAGUGCAUUUUUUAACGAUAAAACUGAAAUAUAAUUUUCAAAUUUAAGUUCUGUUUUGAAUAAUUUAUAACAUAAACCUUUUGAUGAUUGAUUUACAUUUGCAAACCAUUCUUGUCUAAACUGAUCUUUUAACUUUUGUUCAAUACUUAAUACAAUCCAAUUUUUUGAGAUACAAUCUUGAUUUUGCCAAAUGUUUGACAUACCACAAUUAUCAAAAAUACUUUUGAUAAAUAACAACCAUUUG
Molecule: long non-coding RNA, 501 nt
Filed under: Mytilus galloprovincialis (Mediterranean mussel)
Lineage: Eukaryota; Metazoa; Mollusca; Bivalvia; Mytilida; Mytilidae
Source: RNAcentral